Molecule: ribosomal RNA, 305 nt
Filed under: uncultured bacterium
Lineage: Bacteria
Description: bacterial SSU rRNA
Rfam family: Bacterial small subunit ribosomal RNA
Source: RNAcentral
GCCUACGGGAGGCAGCAGUGAGGAAUAUUGGUCAAUGGGCGCGAGCCUGAACCAGCCAAGUCGCGUGAGGGAGGACGGCCCUACGGGUUGUAAACCUCUUUUGCCGGGGAGCAACGGGCGUCACGUGUGGCGCCACUGAGAGUACCCGGAGAAAAAGCAUCGGCUAACUCCGUGCCAGCAGCCGCGGUAAUACGGAGGAUCCGAGCGUUAUCCGGAUUUAUUGGGUUUAAAGGGAGCGUAGGCGGGUUGUUAAGUCAGUUGUGAAAGUUUGCGGCUCAACCGUAAAAUUGCAGUUGAUACUGGCA